ACAAAGGUAUUGAAAUAAGACUUUAAUUGAGUGCUAAGAGAAUGGAUUAACGGAAAAAUUCUUUUUUAAUUUCAAAAAUUGAAGUUAUUUUUGUUAGUGAAGAAACUACAAUAAAAAUUAAGGACAAGAAGACCCUAAGAAUUUUAAAUAAUUUAAAAAAAAAUUUUUUUUUAAAUUAUUUUAAUUGGGGCGAUUAAUAAAAAUAAGAAACUUUAUUUCUCCAAAAAAAAUGAACCAUUAAUAAUGGUCAUAUGAAAAAAAUACUCUAGGGAUAACAGCGUA
This 282-nucleotide ribosomal RNA is filed under the name Amblyomma variegatum (tropical bont tick). Its description in RNAcentral is "partial large subunit ribosomal RNA". The record is from RNAcentral. Lineage: Eukaryota; Metazoa; Arthropoda; Arachnida; Ixodida; Ixodidae.